This 501-nucleotide ribosomal RNA is filed under the name Escherichia coli. RNAcentral describes it as "partial 23S ribosomal RNA". It matches the Rfam family "Bacterial large subunit ribosomal RNA", at positions 2180 to 2680 of the family's 2925-position model. Lineage: Bacteria; Pseudomonadati; Pseudomonadota; Gammaproteobacteria; Enterobacterales; Enterobacteriaceae. The record is from RNAcentral.
AUGGAGCCGACCUUGAAAUACCACCCUUUAAUGUUUGAUGUUCUAACGUUGACCCGUAAUCCGGGUUGCGGACAGUGUCUGGUGGGUAGUUUGACUGGGGCGGUCUCCUCCUAAAGAGUAACGGAGGAGCACGAAGGUUGGCUAAUCCUGGUCGGACAUCAGGAGGUUAGUGCAAUGGCAUAAGCCAGCUUGACUGCGAGCGUGACGGCGCGAGCAGGUGCGAAAGCAGGUCAUAGUGAUCCGGUGGUUCUGAAUGGAAGGGCCAUCGCUCAACGGAUAAAAGGUACUCCGGGGAUAACAGGCUGAUACCGCCCAAGAGUUCAUAUCGACGGCGGUGUUUGGCACCUCGAUGUCGGCUCAUCACAUCCUGGGGCUGAAGUAGGUCCCAAGGGUAUGGCUGUUCGCCAUUUAAAGUGGUACGCGAGCUGGGUUUAGAACGUCGUGAGACAGUUCGGUCCCUAUCUGCCGUGGGCGCUGGAGAACUGAGGGGGGCUGCUCCUA